GGAUCGGGAGUAUGACGCCCUCGUUCUCCCUUCCCUCCUUGCUUCUGCCGAGGGCUCUGGCCUCGCCGCCGAGCACGUGACCAGCGGUAGGCCGCCAUCUUGGGUGCGGGUAGGUUGACGCCGACGCCGCCCCCCUUCCGCCCUCUUCCGCCCCGGAGGCCCGCGACGGAGAGGCUCCCCGGCCGGGCGCUGCUCCGGGACCAGCCCCCGGGGAAUAUAAACAGUUACUUGAGAGUAGAGGAUGUUUCUGAUGUAUUUUAGCAUCUCUGAGUGCCAGAAGAAGUAGGGGCUUACCAUCAGGAUCAGGAUGUAUCUG
This 316-nucleotide long non-coding RNA is filed under the name Canis lupus dingo (dingo). RNAcentral describes it as "lncRNA (ENSCAFG00020004767.1)". The record is from RNAcentral. Lineage: Eukaryota; Metazoa; Chordata; Mammalia; Carnivora; Canidae.